GACGAACGCUGGCGGCGUGCUUAACACAUGCAAGUCGAACGGAAAGGCCCUGCUUUUGUGGGUUGCUCGAGUGGCGAACGGGUGAGUAACACGUGAGUAACCUGCCCUUGUCUUUGGGAUAACUCCAGGAAACAGGGGCUCAUACAGGGUAGGAGCUCCUGCUGCAUGGUGGUGGUUGGUAAGUUUCGGCGGUUGGGGAUGGACUCGCGGCUUAUCAGCUUGUUGGUGGGGUAGUGGCUUACCAAGGCUUUGACGGGUAGCCGGCCUGGGAGGGGGGCCGGCGACAAUGGUACUAAGGGACGGCCCAGACGCCAACUGGAGGCAGCGGGGGGGAGUAUGGCACAAUGGGCGGGAGCCUGAUGCGGCAACGCCGCGUGCGGGAUGACGGCCUUCGAGUGGUAAACCGCUGUCGCCUGUGACGAGGCGUGAGUGACGGUAAUGGGUAAAGAAGCACCGGCUAACUACGUG
Molecule: ribosomal RNA, 468 nt
Filed under: uncultured bacterium
Lineage: Bacteria
Description: partial 16S ribosomal RNA
Rfam family: Bacterial small subunit ribosomal RNA
Source: RNAcentral